RNAcentral lists this ribosomal RNA (2901 nucleotides) under Escherichia coli. RNAcentral's name for it is "23S ribosomal RNA". It matches the Rfam family "Bacterial large subunit ribosomal RNA". The record is from RNAcentral. Lineage: Bacteria; Pseudomonadati; Pseudomonadota; Gammaproteobacteria; Enterobacterales; Enterobacteriaceae.
GGUUAAGCGACUAAGCGUACACGGUGGAUGCCCUGGCAGUCAGAGGCGAUGAAGGACGUGCUAAUCUGCGAUAAGCGUCGGUAAGGUGAUAUGAACCGUUAUAACCGGCGAUUUCCGAAUGGGGAAACCCAGUGUGUUUCGACACACUAUCAUUAACUGAAUCCAUAGGUUAAUGAGGCGAACCGGGGAACUGAAACAUCUAAGUACCCCGAGGAAAAGAAAUCAACCGAGAUUCCCCCAGUAGCGGCGAGCGAACGGGGAGCAGCCCAGAGCCUGAAUCAGUAUGUGUGUUAGUGGAAGCGUCUGGAAAGGCGCGCGAUACAGGGUGACAGCCCCGUACACAAAAAUGCACAUGCUGUGAGCUCGAUGAGUAGGGCGGGACACGUGGUAUCCUGUCUGAAUAUGGGGGGACCAUCCUCCAAGGCUAAAUACUCCUGACUGACCGAUAGUGAACCAGUACCGUGAGGGAAAGGCGAAAAGAACCCCGGCGAGGGGAGUGAAAAAGAACCUGAAACCGUGUACGUACAAGCAGUGGGAGCACGCUUAGGCGUGUGACUGCGUACCUUUUGUAUAAUGGGUCAGCGACUUAUAUUCUGUAGCAAGGUUAACCGAAUAGGGGAGCCGAAGGGAAACCGAGUCUUAACUGGGCGUUAAGUUGCAGGGUAUAGACCCGAAACCCGGUGAUCUAGCCAUGGGCAGGUUGAAGGUUGGGUAACACUAACUGGAGGACCGAACCGACUAAUGUUGAAAAAUUAGCGGAUGACUUGUGGCUGGGGGUGAAAGGCCAAUCAAACCGGGAGAUAGCUGGUUCUCCCCGAAAGCUAUUUAGGUAGCGCCUCGUGAAUUCAUCUCCGGGGGUAGAGCACUGUUUCGGCAAGGGGGUCAUCCCGACUUACCAACCCGAUGCAAACUGCGAAUACCGGAGAAUGUUAUCACGGGAGACACACGGCGGGUGCUAACGUCCGUCGUGAAGAGGGAAACAACCCAGACCGCCAGCUAAGGUCCCAAAGUCAUGGUUAAGUGGGAAACGAUGUGGGAAGGCCCAGACAGCCAGGAUGUUGGCUUAGAAGCAGCCAUCAUUUAAAGAAAGCGUAAUAGCUCACUGGUCGAGUCGGCCUGCGCGGAAGAUGUAACGGGGCUAAACCAUGCACCGAAGCUGCGGCAGCGACACUAUGUGUUGUUGGGUAGGGGAGCGUUCUGUAAGCCUGUGAAGGUGUGCUGUGAGGCAUGCUGGAGGUAUCAGAAGUGCGAAUGCUGACAUAAGUAACGAUAAAGCGGGUGAAAAGCCCGCUCGCCGGAAGACCAAGGGUUCCUGUCCAACGUUAAUCGGGGCAGGGUGAGUCGACCCCUAAGGCGAGGCCGAAAGGCGUAGUCGAUGGGAAACAGGUUAAUAUUCCUGUACUUGGUGUUACUGCGAAGGGGGGACGGAGAAGGCUAUGUUGGCCGGGCGACGGUUGUCCCGGUUUAAGCGUGUAGGCUGGUUUUCCAGGCAAAUCCGGAAAAUCAAGGCUGAGGCGUGAUGACGAGGCACUACGGUGCUGAAGCAACAAAUGCCCUGCUUCCAGGAAAAGCCUCUAAGCAUCAGGUAACAUCAAAUCGUACCCCAAACCGACACAGGUGGUCAGGUAGAGAAUACCAAGGCGCUUGAGAGAACUCGGGUGAAGGAACUAGGCAAAAUGGUGCCGUAACUUCGGGAGAAGGCACGCUGAUAUGUAGGUGAAGUCCCUUGCGGAUGGAGCUGAAAUCAGUCGAAGAUACCAGCUGGCUGCAACUGUUUAUUAAAAACACAGCACUGUGCAAACACGAAAGUGGACGUAUACGGUGUGACGCCUGCCCGGUGCCGGAAGGUUAAUUGAUGGGGUCAGCGCAAGCGAAGCUCUUGAUCGAAGCCCCGGUAAACGGCGGCCGUAACUAUAACGGUCCUAAGGUAGCGAAAUUCCUUGUCGGGUAAGUUCCGACCUGCACGAAUGGCGUAAUGAUGGCCGGGCUGUCUCCACCCGAGACUCAGUGAAAUUGAACUCGCUGUGAAGAUGCAGUGUACCCGCGGCAAGACGGAAAGACCCCGUGAACCUUUACUAUAGCUUGACACUGAACAUUGAGCCUUGAUGUGUAGGAUAGGUGGGAGGCUUUGAAGUGUGGACGCCAGUCUGCAUGGAGCCGACCUUGAAAUACCACCCUUUAAUGUUUGAUGUUCUAACGUUGACCCGUAAUCCGGGUUGCGGACAGUGUCUGGUGGGUAGUUUGACUGGGGCGGUCUCCUCCUAAAGAGUAACGGAGGAGCACGAAGGUUGGCUAAUCCUGGUCGGACAUCAGGAGGUUAGUGCAAUGGCAUAAGCCAGCUUGACUGCGAGCGUGACGGCGCGAGCAGGUGCGAAAGCAGGUCAUAGUGAUCCGGUGGUUCUGAAUGGAAGGGCCAUCGCUCAACGGAUAAAAGGUACUCCGGGGAUAACAGGCUGAUACCGCCCAAGAGUUCAUAUCGACGGCGGUGUUUGGCACCUCGAUGUCGGCUCAUCACAUCCUGGGGCUGAAGUAGGUCCCAAGGGUAUGGCUGUUCGCCAUUUAAAGUGGUACGCGAGCUGGGUUUAGAACGUCGUGAGACAGUUCGGUCCCUAUCUGCCGUGGGCGCUGGAGAACUGAGGGGGCUGCUCCUAGUACGAGAGGACCGGAGUGGACGCAUCACUGGUGUUCGGGUUGUCAUGCCAAUGGCACUGCCCGGUAGCUAAAUGCGGAAGAGAUAAGUGCUGAAAGCAUCUAAGCACGAAACUUGCCCCGAGAUGAGUUCUCCCUGACUCCUUGAGAGUCCUGAAGGAACGUUGAAGACGACGACGUUGAUAGGCCGGGUGUGUAAGCGCAGCGAUGCGUUGAGCUAACCGGUACUAAUGAACCGUGAGGCUUAACCUU